AAAAGAAAAAAAAAGACACAUAGAUUGGAGGUAAAGGAAUGGAAAAUGUAUUCCAUGCAAAUGGAAACCAAAAGAACUGGGAUAGCUAUACUUAGGUAAAAUAGAUUUUAAGUAAUGUAUACAAGGAGACAAAGGUCAUUGUAUAAUGAUAAAGGGAUCAAUUCAAGAGGAUAUAACAAUUAUAAAUAUAUAUGCACUCAGCAUCAGAGCACCUAAAUAUAUAAAGCAAAGAUAUAAAGAUCUGAAGAGAUAAACUGCAAUACAAUAAUGGUAGGGUACCUCAAUACCCAUUUUCAACAAUGUACAGAUCAUGCAGACAGAAAAUCAAUAUGGAAAUGUUGGAAUUGAGCCACAGUUUAGACAAAUGGAUCUAACAUAUAUACAGAACAUUUCAUCCAAUAGCAACAGAAUACACAUUAUUUUCAAGCUCACACAGAGCUUUCUGCAGAAUAGAUCAUACAUUAAGCUACAAAAGAAAACUUAACAAAUUUAAGCAGGUUAAAGUCAUAUCCAGUAUCUUUCAACCACAGUGGUAUGAAAUUAGGAAUUAAUAAUAGGAAAAAUGUCAGAAAAUUCACAAUAUGUAGAAUUAAACCAAAUUCUCCUGUACAACCAGUGGGUCAAAGACAAAAGUAAAAGGGACAUUAAAAAUUGUCUUGAGACAAAUGAAAAUGGAAACACCACAUGCCAAAACUUGCGGGUAGCAGCCAAAGCAGUCCCAAGAGGAAGAUAAUAGCAAUAAACACCUAUAUCGAAAAAGAAGAAAGACUGUGAACCAUCUAACUUUAUAUCUUAGGGAACUAGAAAGAGAAGAAUAAAUUAAGGCCAAAGUUAGUAGGAGGAAGGAAAUAAUAAAGAUCAGAGCAGAAAUAAACACAAACUAGAAAAACAACAGAAAAGAACAAAACUAACAGUUGGUUUUUAAGAUAAAAUCAACAAACCUUGAUCUAAACUAAGAAAUGAGAGAAGGCUAAAAUAAAAUUAGAAAAUAAAGCAGAGACAUUAUACAUGAUACUACAGAUAUACCAAGGAUCUUACGAGAUUGCCAUGAACUUGCUAACAAAUUGGAUAACCUAGAAGAAAUGGAUGAAUUCCUAAAACCAUAGAAUCUAUAUGAGCCGUAUACUUUCUUAACAUUUCUGCCAUCCUCCCUAUCCUCUUUGGUAUAGCCUCUCUUCAGACUGCCUCCUUAGCUCUCUUCUGGAUCACUAUAACAGCCUAACAAUUGUAUCACCUUCAGUUUUGCUCUUCCUUCCAUAUGACUAAAUAAAUGAAAAAUUUGAUCAGACAUUAACGAGUAGGGAGAGUGAAUUGGUAAUAAAAGGUCCACUUAUUUUGUCUUACAGUGAGAGUGGCUUGCUAUUAUCUCCCAUUAUUGAUGCAUUUCUAUCUUUGUCUUCCUGCAUCCCCUGCAGUUUUUGCUUCAUAAGAAUGUUUGCAGUGUUAUUUGGUACCAUACAUAUUCAUGUUAGGUCUUUAUUGUGAAUUACAGAUUUUAGAAUUAAAAAGGAGAUUUGGGCCGGGCACAGUGGCUCACGCCUGUAAUCCCAACACUUUGGGAGGCCGAGGUGGGCAGAUCACCUGAAGUCAGGAGUUUGAGACCAGCCUGCCCAGCAUGGUGAAACCCCGUCUCUACUAAAAAAAAAUACCAAAAAUUAGCCAAGUGUGGUGUCAGGCGCCAUAAUCCCAGCUACUCAGGAGGUUAAGGCAGGAGAAUCACUUGAACCUGAGAGACGGAGGUUGUGGUAAGCCAAGAUCGCCCCAUUGUACUUUAGCCUGGACAACAAGAACGACUCUGUCCCAAAAAAAAAAAAAAAAAAGAGAUUUGAGGGUCAUAUUUAUAUUUUUUUGGCUUGGAUUCUACGUUGCCUAGUAUCAGGAUCACCUCCCCUAUUUUCUUAUUGUUCUCAUUUCCCCUAUAUUUCAUUGUCCAUCCCAUUAUUUUUAGUCUUCUUACAUCACUUUGUUUCUUGUAUACAGUAUACUGUUGGUUCUAGCUUUGUAAGACAAAUUGAAAUAAGCUGAAUAGGUGAGUCAAGCCCACUCAUCAUUCAUAUGACUGAGUGUUUGGUUUGAAGCCUGUCAUAAAAUUGUAUUGUUAUAUUUGCUAUAUUUAUUUUCUGUGCAAUGUGUACUAUUUGUCAUUUUAUGAAAAUGUUUUACUGAUAGUUAAGAAUUUUUAUUCUAGUGGUUAUCUUUGUAUUUAUACUUUAUUCUCCAUUUUCUUAUUUAAGAUUUACUAUCUAGUUUGUCAGGUUUUAAUGCCUGUAAUUCACACUUAUUGCCUAUACAGCGAUCAAUGAUUUUAAUCUCACGUCUUUUUGCUCCCAUUUUUUAGUUGUUUUAUUUCUACCUGAUUGCAACAUAUAAUGUUUGUGUAUUGGUUUUGCACUCGAAUUCCUACUGUUGGUUUAGUCUGAAAGCUACUAUUAAAUAUAGUAAAUAUUGUAAUUUUAUUUUGCUGAAGUUUUUCAGUCAUCUCUUGUUGAAUGAAGCUCAUUCAUUAGUAGAUCUUCAUGAGUGGCUCAGGGGUACAUAAUUGUCUAAGUUAUGUGUUUGAAGCUGUUUUUCUAUUAUAGUGUUUUAUACUGAAGGACAGCUUGACUGAAUAUAAAAUCUUGGUUCACACUUUCAGUUUUUUGAAAAUUUAUUGUCUUGCUUUAUAUAUAUUUUUUGAGAAAUCUGAUACCAGUCUAAUUAUUUUGCCCUUGUAAAUUAUUUGAUCACGUAUCCCUGAAUCCUCGAGGAUUAAAAAAUUUUUUUCGGCCUGGCUCGGUGGCUCACGCCUGUAAUUCCAGCACUUUGGGAGGCUGAGGCGGGCAGAUCACGAGGUCAGGAGAUCAAGGCCAUCCUGGCUAACAUGGUGAAACCCCAUCUCUACUAAAAAUACAAAAAAUUAGCCUGGUGUGGUGGUGGGCGCCUGUAGUCCUGGCUACUCGGGAGGCUGAGGCAGGAGAAUGGCGUGAACCCGGGAGGCAGAGCUUGCAGUGAGCCGAGAGUGCGCCACUGCACUCCAGCCUGGGCAACAGAGCGAGACUCCGUCUCAAAAAAAAAAAAAGAAAAAAAGAAAAAUUUUUUUUUCAAGUUUAAAUAGUUUUACUGAGAUGUGUCUUGGAGUUAACAUUCAAAGUUUACUUUUCCAGUUAACUGGAAAUCCCUUUCAAAAUGUAGAUUCAGAUCCUUUUUAUUUCUGAUAAUUUUUCAUGGAUUAUAAUGUUAAAUAUUCUGUUCCAUUGUUUUUUAUUUCUUCUUCAGGGGUUCCAAUUAUAUGUGAGUUAUUUAUCUUUUGUUCAACUUUCUCUUUCUGACCAUUUUUCCUUCUUUUCUGUAUCGUAUUUAUUUGUUUAUUUUUGCAUCUAUCCAGUGUCUAAGUUUUCAUUAGUCUGUUUUCCUUUGGACACCUUGUAAUUUAGUCUUCAUUUAUAAUUCCCCCCCUUCCAUUUCUUUCUUGAAUUCAAUAAUCUUUAAAUUUACUCGUGGUUUUUUUAAUCUAUUUCUGUUUUUUAUAUUUUGAAUUUCCAAUUCACGGUGCUUUUUCAUAUCCCCAAAUGCUUAUCUGAGGAUUUUAUUCAGUUUGAUAUGUUGUGUUACAAUUUUCUUCUGAUUUAAUGGUUGCUUUUUGGUAGAGAAUUUUCAUCAGCCAAUGCAUGUUAAUUAUUGUUUGCUGAUUUCUCAUACUACCAUUAUAUAGAUUUAGUCCAUUUCCUUCCAUUCAUUUUUUUGAAUUUGAGGGGUUAUAAGAUUCCUAGUUCAGAAGGACUCUCUCUGUCAGCAUAGAAAAUACAAUUUCUUUAGGGGGUGUUUUUUUUAACUUUAUAGUAGAGGGAGGGAUUAUGUAUGUUCCAGUUUUUUGUUUUUUGUUUUUGUCUUGCAGGACCCUGAAUUUCUCCUGUUGCUUCUUUUCCCCUUCACCAUCCAGUUGCCAAAAGGCACCUUGCCUAUUCUUUUUGCUCUCUCCACUCCCUGAAGCUAUCCUGUAAUAAGUGUUGUGAUACUAAGAUACUUUAUAUUUUUGCACCUAGGAUAGAAUUUCUAUCUCUGCUGGUGAUUUUAGACCAAUUUUAGGCCUGCCACUAGAUCCGUUUUUCUUUAUUCUGUAUGUUCUUCUUUGGCCUGCCCUUGCUUGCUACAAAGGCUUAUGGUAGAAAUGUGAAAGAUCACUCACUUGGAUUUGGUGCUUUUAAUUUUUUUACUUAUAAGUAUUUGACAUUUGGCUAUAUUUUUCUUCUUGUUAGGCUGAGGGUGUAUUUUGUAUAGAUUUAUUUAUUCUUCUUGUUCUGUAUCGUUUAUGACGGACAUAGGUAGCUGCCAUUUUAUUUUAUUACCGCGAAGUCCUCACCUAUUCACUCUUAAAUCUACCUCAUUGAAGACUUCAAUAACUAUUUGUUGUUGGAAGCCAUAAUGAAACUGUUGAUCAAAUUACCCAAUCCAAAUCAAAUUAACCAAAAAGACUUUCUUCAGUCUUCAUAUUAAUUACCUUCCCUGCAGAACAGAACAUGGUUGCCCAUUAUGUGAAAUUCCUUUUACUUCUUUGGUGGUCCUGUCUGUUUUCUUAUGCCUAAUUGUUGCUUACGGUAUACUUGCUGUUUGUUUGUUUGUUUGUUUGUUUCUUUUAUACACUCAUUAAGUGAGUUCUCCAUCUAAAUAUCCCAUAAGGCACUUCAGAAUCAACAUAUCCAAAAGGAAACAUAUUUUACUCAUCUCCAAAUCUUUUGUUUCUCCAGCAAUUCAAGUUUUGGUGAAUGAAGCUAUGAACAAUCCAGUAAUCCAAACCAGAAACUUGAGAGUCAUCUUUUUUACACCUCCCACUUUGCAUCUCUCACAUUGAAUAAGCAAUCAUGCCCUGAGCCAUAUACUUUCUUAGCAUCUCUGCCAUCCUCCCUAUCCUCUUUGGUAUGGCCUCUCUUCAGACUGCCUCCUUAGCUCUCUUCUGGAUCACUAUAACAGCCUAACAAUUGUAUCACCUUCAGUUUUGCUCUUUCUUCCAUAUGACUAUCAGAAUUAUUUCUCUGGAAGAUCAUGUCAAUCACUCCUUCUCAGUGGUUCUUCAUUGCCUAUAGGAAGAAAUCCAAACUCCGUAGCAUGAGAGAAAUGUUUUUCAUAAUGACUUUAUCCUGCCUUUCUAUUGUUUCUUUCAUAUCAUGCCCAGCUCAGCCCCCCAUUCAAUGAAAAUCAUACUAAACUACUUUAAUUCCACUAACAUGUUGUGCUAGUUAAGCCUCUUUACCUUUGUUCAUGCUGUUUUUACUCAGACCACUCCAUUCCACAACAUACACUUGGGGGAUACCUACUAAUUUUGAAGACCCCCUUCAGCCCUGAUGUUAACCUUCUUUGUGGAAUCAUUAUUGACAUGAUGGAUAGAAUUGGUCAGAUGCUUCCUUGUUCAUCAGUUGUACUAGGCACAGCAUUCUAAUGUAGCACCUAUUACACAUUUUAAAAUUUGUUUACAUGUCUCCCCUCAUGUAAGUUUGUAGGACUGGUACCUGAAAUAUACUAGGCUUACCUUACUGACAUUUUGAAAUAUAAGAUAGCUUUCCAAGGCUUGCUUUUGCCUCCUGAUUCAGGACUCUACCAUUGGCAUCAUCAGGAAGAAUUUCUAAUAGUAUUAUUGAUCAGAGUCUUCUGGAAGUUUCUGCAGGUUACACAUCAACUUACUUUUCCCUGACAAAAUAAUUCUGCAUCUAGAAACACAAACAAGUAGUCAAAGAAGUUAUAUUGGAACUAAGAGAUGAAUUACCAAAGGAAAACUGAAAUCAAGAAACAUUUGAUGAAAUUCAGGCAAUGUCUUCAGGUGCCAGAGGACACAGAAAUGUCCCGAGAACCAUUCACAUGAUCUUAAAGAAACUUCUGCUGGUUGUCUUGUACCUUUGAAGCAGGUGUGAUUGAGAUGGAUACCUUAAUUUUUUUAAAGUAAAAAUUGUUCAUUCUCUUAUGUACUUUAGCAUACUGGUAUUCUUAUCAAAAUAUGAAACAGCAUCAAGUUUAAUAUUAAUUAUAAAACACAUGGUAUAUUUAUAUUUCUGCUCUUUAUUUUCUAAAGUUAACUCAGUUAACUCUCCAUAUAGGUAUUUGGACAUGGGCUGUAACCACUUUUUAGAACAAAUACUGUGAAGAUUGUUUUAUUACAUGACAUUUUAUGAUGUGAGAUUAACACCUUUGUGUUAGUAAACAUCCUAGAUUGUUCACUUCAAUAUAGAUUUUUAAAAUGUAUAGUUAUACUUGUGCAGGAUACUAGAAAAUGAAAAUGACUGUUCACACAUGCUUUAUUAUUCAGUAAUUUUACAAGAAAAUAUUACUGUUUGAAAGAAAAUCAUGCAUGCCUAAAACUGAUUCUGUUCCAGUUUUAUAAGUUAGUAUACUAAUUUUAAGACAUUGUGUAUAUUUCCUUCACUUAAUUUCUAUUUUCUACUGCAUUUCUACCAAUAUAAAAAACAAAGAAUUCAGUUGGUUCCUUUCUAGAGGGAAAAUUUGUUGUGAGUAUAGUACUGGGCAUCACAUGCUGCUUCCCUUUGUGGCUUUGAAUAAACCCUUAUUUUCUUGUCCAUUUUGUCUCAAAGAAUUUUAAAUGGCAUUGUCUAAACUCAGGAGUAUUGUGUGGAUUGAUUAGUAUGAGAAGUUUCUUUCAUGGUAAGUAUAGAGUUUAAGUAUAUAAAAUCAACUCUUGGUCAUAUAUGUAAAACACAAUUGAGAAGUAAAACUUGCCAUCAACUCUUGGUUAUAUACAAAAAAAUUGAGAAGUAAAACUUGCCAUACAUAUUAGUACAAGUAAUUAAAAACGGAUUAUAGCUUGAAAGGCAUUAGAUCUCACAUUAUUUACAUUCUCACUCCUUUUAGCUCCUUUGCUUUUUUGUUCUCUUGUUUGCAAAGAUUAAAAAUAAUGUUCCUGGCAUUUUAAUGGAACAUUACCAAAUGUACAUUCAUGUGUAUUGAUCAAAGACCAACUUUCAUUAGUGAAAAAAUCUAAUUUUUUCUAGACCAAUUAAAAGGAUAAAAUUCUCUUAUUUGAAUAAUAAGAGAAUUAAAGAGUUUAUUAAGCAAAAACAGUUGCUGAAAAAGCGUAGCAAAGACUGACUAGACUGGCUAGAAUUUCCUCUUCUUCCAGGACAGAUGGUUCUACGACAUUUUAAGCCUUCUUUGUAAUGGCCGAGUGACUGGGUUCUAGCUAGUGGAAUGUGAGUGGAAGCCUUUUACCUCAGAAAAGACACACAAUUCUGCAUGCCCUUUCCCCUUCUGUGGCAUGGUGCAAACAUGCAUGGUGACUUUGGAAGCCACAUUUUGACGAUGGUGGAGCCGCAAGAUGAAAAGAGCCUAGGUUCCUGAAUCACCAGGUGGAGGAAUAUUGCCAAUCCAUCAUUGUCGCCUGAACCUAUAUAGAAAUUGGUACCUUGAAAAGUGGAGGUUUCUGAACAAAAAAACCUUUAAGUUUUGCAGACUGUUCAAGAAGAAUGGUGCCAGCAUCUGCAUCAGGUGAUGGCUUCAAGUUAAAGAAAGAAGGUUCAUGGAAGAAGGUGAAGGGGAGCCAAGCUGGCUGUGUACAGAUAGCACAUAACCAGAAAGGAAGCAAGAGAUAUCCAGUUGUCCCAGCACAAUUUUUUGAUAAGACUAUUGUUUUCUUUCAUUGAAUUUGUUUGGCAAACUUACCAAAAAUCAAUUGACCGUAAGUAUAAGGAUGGAUUUCUGGACUCUCAAUUGUAUUUCACUGGUGUAUGUCUGUCCUUAUAUCAGUACCACACAGUCUUGAUUAUUUGCUUUUGUGGAUUCUUUAGGGGGUUACAUAUACACAAUCAUGUCAUUUGUGAAGAGAGACUGUUUUACUUUUUCCAUAUGGACUCGUUUUUAUUUAAUUUUCUUACCUAAUUCCUUUUCUAGAACCCACAGUACAAUGUUGACUAGAAGCUGAAAAAUUGGACACUGUUUUUCUGGAUUGUAAGCGAGAAACAUUGUGUCUCACCAUUAAGUAUGAUGUUAGCUAUGGUUUUCAUAAAUACCUUUUAUCAGGUUGAGGAACAUUCCUUCUCUAUUAAUUUCCCAGGGAUGCUAUAACAAAAUGCUAUAAAUUUGAUGGCAUAAACAGUACAUUAUUGUCUCAUUUCUGGGGGCCAGAAGUCUGAAAUCAAGGAAUUAGCAGGGCCACACUCCAUCUGGAGGGUCUAGGGAAGAAUUCUUCCUUGCCUCUUCCAUCCUGUGGUUGCUAUCAGAAUUCCUUGGCUUCCUUGGCUUGUGAUAACAUAAUCUAAUCUCUGCCUCCAUCUUCACAUAGCCUUAUUCUCUCUGUCUGUGUCUGCCCCUUUUCUAAGGAAACUUGUCACUGGAUUUAAGGAAUACCUGAAUAUUCCAGAUUUAUCUCAUUUCAGGAUUCUUCACUGAAUUACAUCUGCAAAGAUCUGUCUUCCAAAUAAGGUGCCAUCCACAGUUUUGAGGAUUAGGGCACAGAUUUCUUUUGGGGGUAUUCGGGGUACUGUUCAACCACUACAGUCUGCCCCCUAGCUCCCCACAAUUCACAUUUAUCUCACAUAUCUUCUUUCAUCUUCUUUCAUUCCUGAUCCUGAUUAUUUGAGUCUUCUCUCUCUUUUUGUUGGUUAGACUAAUUAAAAGUUUAUCAACUUUUAUAUCUUUUCAAAGAAGCAAUUUUUGAUUUUUUCUUUUCUAUUUAUUUAUUUAUUUAGAGACGG
RNAcentral lists this long non-coding RNA (8672 nucleotides) under Homo sapiens (human). RNAcentral's name for it is "HSALNT0364751". The record is from RNAcentral. Lineage: Eukaryota; Metazoa; Chordata; Mammalia; Primates; Hominidae.